CCUACGGGAGGCAGCAGUGGGGGAUAUUGCACAAUGGGGGAAACCCUGAUGCAGCGACGCCGCGUGGGUGAAGAAGCGCCUCGGCGCGUAAAGCCCUGUCAGCAGGGGAGAAAAUGACGGUACAUGAAGAAGAAGCCCCGGCUAACUACGUGCCAGCAGCCGCGGUAAUACGUAGGGGGCAAGCUUUAUCCGGAUUUACGGGGUGUAAAGGGGUCGCAGACGGCGAUGCAAGCCAGAAGUGAAAGCCCGGGGCCCAACCCCGGGACUGCUCUUGGAACUGCGUGGCUAGAGUGCAGGAGGGGCAGGCGGAAUUCCUGGUGUAGCGGUGAAAUGCGUAGAUAUCAGGAGGAACACCGGUGGCGAAGGCGGCCUGCUGGACUGCAACUGACGUUGAGGCCCGAAAGCGUGGGGAGCAAACAGGAUUAGAUACCCUGGUAGUC
This 440-nucleotide ribosomal RNA is filed under the name uncultured bacterium. RNAcentral describes it as "partial 16S ribosomal RNA". It matches the Rfam family "Bacterial small subunit ribosomal RNA", at positions 338 to 795 of the family's 1533-position model. The record is from RNAcentral.